UACCUUUGCAUCCGAAUUGGUUCCGUACGCUCGUUCGGGCAUACGGAUUAAAAGGGAAUCCGGUGAGAAUCCGGUACAGUCCCGCUGCUGUGAAACUCCUUUAACAUUCUAAUACUACUUUCGCCACUGGCCUAGUAAGCCGGGAAGGCAUUAGAAUGGGAGUCAGUCAGAAGACCUGCCAUUCAUUUAAGAUUCAU
RNAcentral lists this non-coding RNA (197 nucleotides) under Parabacteroides distasonis. The record is from RNAcentral. Lineage: Bacteria; Pseudomonadati; Bacteroidota; Bacteroidia; Bacteroidales; Tannerellaceae. RNAcentral also lists the same sequence under 1 other name.